RNAcentral lists this ribosomal RNA (429 nucleotides) under Gemmatimonadota bacterium. RNAcentral's name for it is "Gemmatimonadetes bacterium partial 16S ribosomal RNA". It matches the Rfam family "Bacterial small subunit ribosomal RNA", at positions 355 to 776 of the family's 1533-position model. The record is from RNAcentral. Lineage: Bacteria; Pseudomonadati; Gemmatimonadota.
UAGGGAAUCUUCGGCAAUGGACGAAAGUCUGACCGAGCAACGCCGCGUUAGUGAAGAAGGUUUUCGGAUCGUAAAACUCUGUUGUUAGAGAAGAACAAGGACGUUAGUAACUGAACGUCCCCUGACGGUAUCUAACCAGAAAGCCACGGCUAACUACGUGCCAGCAGCCGCGGUAAUACGUAGGUGGCAAGCGUUGUCCGGAUUUAUUGGGCGUAAAGCGCGCGCAGGCGGAUUCUUAAGUCUGAUGUGAAAGCCCCCGGCUCAACCAGGGAGGGUCAUUGGAAACUGGGAGACUUGAGUGCAGAAGAGGAGAGUGGAAUUCCAUGUGUAGCGGUGAAAUGCGUAGAUAUAUGGAGGAACACCAGUGGCAAAGGCGGCUCUCUGGUCUGUAACUGACGCUGAGGCGCGAAAGCGUGGGGAGCAAACAGG